UUUCCUGUAGAGUCGAUAAAAAAUAUUCAAGAUUCAGUAUAGAAUAUGAUAAAAAGAGAAGUUGCUUUAAAAUAAAAUUGAAAGAAAGCUAAUUAUUUAAAUUAACUUAAAAUUUAAUUCACCAUUGCCCUUAGCCGAAGAUACAUAUGCCUAAAGUGAGAGUUUUACAGAAAUGAACAAGAACUGUGUACUCUUGACCUCUUUAACCCUUUGCUUACCGCUGGUACAACAUGUGGACCACAUGCGAUGGUACAACGUAGUUUACCGUAAGCAAAGGGUCAAGUAAUGAGGGUGUUUACAACUUAGCGCCUAAAGAACUUAGAGGGAGAAGUUGCUUCACUUGCUCAGAAUUUCCAAGAAUAAAAGAAGAAUAAGGAUUGCAACAUAAAUUCUAAUAAGAAUCAUUGAUUAUUUCAUUUCAUUUCUAAACGCUUAAA
Parasteatoda tepidariorum (common house spider) is the source of this 437-nucleotide long non-coding RNA. NCBI's taxonomy places the organism in Eukaryota, Metazoa, Arthropoda, Arachnida, Araneae, Theridiidae. The record is from RefSeq and is a predicted model, not a curated record.